RNAcentral lists this ribosomal RNA (325 nucleotides) under uncultured eukaryote. RNAcentral's name for it is "partial 18S ribosomal RNA". It matches the Rfam family "Eukaryotic small subunit ribosomal RNA", at positions 1470 to 1796 of the family's 1831-position model. The record is from RNAcentral.
CCCUUAGAUGUUCUGGGCCGCACGCGCGCUACACUGAUGCAUUCAACGAGUCUAAAACCUGCUCUGAUAGGGGUGGGUAAUCUUUUGAAUGUGCAUCGUGAUUGGGAUAGAUGAUUGCAAUUUUUCAUCUUCAACGAGGAAUUCCUAGUAGACGUAGUUCAUCAGACUGCAUCGAUUACGUCCCUGCCCUUUGUACACACCGCCCGUCGCUCCUACCGAUUGAAUGCUCAGGUGAGCCAUUCGGACUUUCAUCAUGCUGGUUUCCAGUUUUGAUGAAGGAAAGUCUUGCGAACCUUAUCAUUUAGAGGAAGGAGAAGUCGUAACA